GAGCAUGUGGUUUAAUUCGAUGCAACGCGAAGAACCUUACCUGGUCUUGACAUCCACAGAACUUUCCAGAGAUGGAUUGGUGCCUUCGGGAACUGUGAGACAGGUGCUGCAUGGCUGUCGUCAGCUCGUGUUGUGAAAUGUUGGGUUAAGUCCCGCAACGAGCGCAACCCUUAUCCUUUGUUGCCAGCGGUCCGGCCGGGAACUCAAAGGAGACUGCCAGUGAUAAACUGGAGGAAGGUGGGGAUGACGUCAAGUCAUCAUGGCCCUUACGACCAGGGCUACACACGUGCUACAAUGGCAUAUACAAAGAGAAGCGACCUCGCGAGAGCAAGCGGACCUCAUAAAGUAUGUCGUAGUCCGGAUUGGAGUCUGCAACUCGACUCCAUGAAGUCGGAAUCGCUAGUAAUCGUAGAUCAGAAUGCUACGGUGAAUACGUUCCCGGGCCUUGUACACACCGCCCGUCACACCAUGGGAGUGGGUUGCAAAAGAAGUAGGUAGCUUAACCUUCGGGAGGGCGCUUACCACUUUGUGAUUCAUGACUGGGGUGAAGUCGUAACAAGGUAACCGUAGGGGAACCUGCGGUUGGAUCACCUCCUUACCUUAAAGAA
This 608-nucleotide ribosomal RNA is filed under the name Klebsiella pneumoniae. RNAcentral's name for it is "bacterial SSU rRNA". It matches the Rfam family "Bacterial small subunit ribosomal RNA", at positions 935 to 1533 of the family's 1533-position model. Lineage: Bacteria; Pseudomonadati; Pseudomonadota; Gammaproteobacteria; Enterobacterales; Enterobacteriaceae. The record is from RNAcentral.